GGGAGUGAAAUAGAACCUGAAACCCUGCACUUACAAGCUGUGGAAGCACAUUUCUUGUGUGACCGCGUACUUUUUGUAGAACGGGCCAACGAGUUACGUUAAGGAGGAAGGUAAGGCACUUAAGGUGCGGAGCCGUAGCGAAAGCGAGUUUUAACUGAGCGUUCAGUUACUUGACGUAGACCCGAAACCGGGCGACCUACCCAGGAGCGGGAUGAAGCGAAAGUAAAAGUUCUUGGAGGUCCGAACCCACGAGCGUUGAAAAGCUGGGGGAUGACUUGUGGGUAGCGGUGAAAUUCCAAUCGAGCCCGGAGAUAGCUGGUUCUCCCCGAAAUAGCUUUAGGGCUAGCCUCAAGGUGAGAGAUACGGAGGUAGAGCACUGAAUGUCCUAGGGGGUAUUGCACCUA
RNAcentral lists this ribosomal RNA (404 nucleotides) under Clostridioides difficile. RNAcentral describes it as "bacterial LSU rRNA". It matches the Rfam family "Bacterial large subunit ribosomal RNA", at positions 534 to 938 of the family's 2925-position model. The record is from RNAcentral. Lineage: Bacteria; Bacillati; Bacillota; Clostridia; Peptostreptococcales; Peptostreptococcaceae.